UUUUUUUUUUGUCACUGUAUUUAUACAGACAUUAUGCUGUCUUAUUAUCUUCCUUUACUGUAUUAUCUUUACUGGCUUUAUCCUUAAUUUUUAGUUUUGGCUCCUACUAAUGAAGUUUUCCCACUCUUGUAAAAGCUGUAGAUCAUAUUACAAUUCUAAUGCAUCUUUUUCCAUACCGUUUUCUGUGUUUCUACUUCCCUUCCCCACUGUCAUAUCCUAGUAGAUAGCAUCUUGAUGAAAAAAUUAUCAAGACUGUUCUACAAGAAAUCUGUCAUCAGGCUUGAACUCACCCAACAUGAUGAGUCAUAUGGAGCUGGUUAUUUCCUGGUGAAUAGCAAGAAGCAAGCAAAAAUUAUCAUUUGAAUAAAACAAUCUGAAAAACAAAACCAAGAGAUCUAUGAAAGUCAAAGACAAUCUACCAGUUUUGUGCUAGAAAAAAUGAGCUGAAUUCCAAGUCCCUCCUAGGUUCAUCAGAGCCAAAGACUCUGAAGAUUACAUAUGAUUACCAUAUGAUAGAUGGUAAAUCUGAAGACUGAAGAAUUUGACAUGAAUUUCAAAUAUCAGCAAACAGAAACAGAACUUCAACAACUAGAUUUGUGUAUCCCAGUAGUGAAGAAGACUGUGUCCCUCCCCACUAUGUUGAUUGUUGUUGUUUAGUUUGCAUUUUAACACUUUCAAGUUGCCCUUUUUUGAAUUGCAUUGAUGCAUAAAUAAGCAGUCAUGGUAUAUAGGCUAUAUGAUUUAUAUAUAUAUAUAUACACACACACAUAUGUAUAAAAAUCUUAUAUAUUUUAUCUAUAAGCUGAUGAAGUGAGAAAGUAAACAAUCUAAAAUAUUUAUGCCCAGUACUAUUGCUAAGAGACAAAUUAUUUUUAAUCUCCAACAUCAGCUCUUUCCUUAGGGCUUCCAGUAUCUCUUCAGCUUUGCUUUGUGUCAUUUUAACAAUGCUGUUACAGUCAAAGCAGUGCAAACCUUCUAAAAUCAACAUAGUAACCUGUGAAGUAGGAGGAAAACUAUAUUAAUAAAGGUCAUCAUUCUACAUACAGGUACAAGCAUAGAGCUAGGUGACUGAAAUGAAUAUUUACUUUAGUUUUAUUUUAAUCCUCUGGGAGUUCAUUAACACCCCUCUCAAAUGUUAGUGUUCAAAUUCUGCCUAUGACAGAGCAAACGAGAGAGAACAAAAAAAAGAUUUAAUAGAAGAUAUUUUCUGGGGUCGUGCAAAUGCAGCUGAGGCAAUACUAUGUUUUUCUGGGUUUCCCAUGUUUUCAUGUAUUAGAAGAAAGAAGAAGAAAAGAAUAUGGAUUUCCCUCUUGAAAAAAACACUUCUUAUGAGGGUAAAUGUAUCGCCUAGACAGGUAUAAUGAAUGCAAUUCACUAAAAUUGUACAGUCUCCUCAUCACAGAUUAUAGUGAGCAGGAAGGAAGAACACUGUUGUGGAGCUGUUUCAGAAAUUGAUUGCACAAAUUACAUCUUUUGCUUGUUUGUAAAUCUCAUUUCAGUAAGACAGUUAAUACAGAUGUUGUUGCUAAUAAAGAAAAUGAUGGCAAACAAUUACAGUCUUAAGUUGUCCCUGAGUAAGGUGGUCAUCCUUGCCUAAAUUUUCAGUGUUUUCUGUAAAUGAUCAAGAAUGGUGGCUACUAUAUAUGUCCUGAAUGAUUGAAAAAUCUAUGGAUAAUGCUUUUUAAACUAAAAAAAUAUUGUUUUCACUCAUCACUCCCGAAUCACUCUCCGAGAAUUUUGCUUUUGAAGCUGAAUUUCCUAUCACUGAAUUGUUUUUUGUAUAUAUUGCUCAUGUAAAUAUGCACAUUUUAUUUGCAUUCAGAGGAAAGACUUAAGAUAGAAUGUGUCUUUGUGUACUAACUGACUAAAACUGAAAAAUUGACUCUCUCCAGACUGUAAUAUGAAUCCAACUAAAUGCUAUGUCCUGGACAUCCUAGAAGGUUAGCUUUCCCUUUCUGUCUGUGUGCGUGUCUGCAAUACUAGUCUGCAAAUGUUAAUACUGUGGAACUGUGUCAGUACGUGCUUAUCUAAACUAAGAGAACUCAUGAAAAGUUUGUCUUGAUGGUGCAUUAAUACUUGGGUUUUAUAUAUAUAUAAAUAUAUAUAUAAUCAAGUACAGAGCUUCCAUAACAUUAUUGGGCCUGUUUUGAAAACUAUAAUAUAUGCAUUGCUGCAGAGCAAAAGAAAAUUCUCUAAGUUACAGAUGGUCACUAAAUUGACAAUAUAUUUACUGAAGCAUAAAUUUCCAACCCACUGAAACUCUACUCUCCAUGUGCUCAAGAGACUGCUGGAAUAACACAAAGCGACAAUAUGCAUGGGUAUGCAGGCAAACAUAUGAUGCAUACAGCAUAUGUUAUACCUUAGCUUCAUAUUCAGCUGAAGUGAAUUGAUAGAAAAAAAAUAAUGCUCAUAGUAAAAGAUCUUUUUGGUACAAUAAAACCCAAUUUAAGAAGGCUGAAAGAUGUAGCUAUUCAGAUCUUUAUGUGAGUCAUACUGUGCUGCUAGUCACACACAUGCAGAAGGUUCCUAUAGCUUUCACACAGUUAUGUGUGACAAAAGUCAAUACUAAGAUCAGCACCUUUCUUCCUGACCAUAACCACUACCAUUCUGUUCUAAAUAAUGACACUCUAGGCUUCUGAUAUGUUUCUUUAAACUAUGCAAGUUUGUACUUGUUCUCUAAACAUAAAUUCAUAUUUACACAGUGCAUAUGGAAUUACAGAUAUGCAUUGGACUAUAAAUGAAAACAUAUGGUUCCUAAAGCCAGUGCAGAUAAGUAACGUCAAAAUAGCAUGCACAUCCAUUCACAUAAUCAACAUAAACAAGUAGGACAAGAGAAACUGUCACAUAACCCACAUCCGCUGUCACAUAUCUAUAUACACAUAUACACACACCAACUGUGCUACUUUAAUAUUAAUGUGAACAAGUGUUUCCAAGUUCUACACAUAGAUAUUGUUUCUCCUCAUUCCACUGGAACAUGGUUUAGAAAUUUGGACUCUGCUGAAAAUUGGGUGCUUAAGCAUUUGUUUAUAAUUGUCUUGCUUUUUAAUAGAUGUUGCUGGGUUAUUUUUCCAGUGGUUAUUUUCUCAUGUACAUUCUUUGGUGCAAAGGCUGAGGUGUAAGGAUAGAAAGGGAACAUAUUAUGUGCCUGAAUACAGCUGCCUAAUACCCUUUACCUCCUGCUCCAAAAGGGCAGGGGUUUCUUAUAUGUCUCAUUUUAUAUCUGUCAGACCUGUUCAUGUGACUGAGAUACCACAGGCUGUCUAGUACAGCACUGGAUGCCUAUAUUUAUGGACUGGUAUUGCUUAUAUAGUAGCAAAUGGACUUACUGAUUCCUAAUUUUCAUUUGUUUUAUGAAGUGCCGCAGCUAUUGCUACCCUCAACCCAAAUGCACAUCUCCAAACUUCUGCUUUUGGGCCCCUGAAGAUCAAGGCAAGGAAGAGUCAGAAACAAAUAGAAUACAGGGAAACUGGGGAAAAACUGCCCAGUAAAAUGUGAUGCUUUAACACGACAAACUAAAUAAAAUAUUUGUAUUAUUAUUUUUUUUCUACAGCAUUACUUUUUCCUUCUUCUGGAAUGGAGGAGAAACUUCAAAUCUGAGUAAAUCUCUCUCUUGUCUCAAAAUUACUUAGGCCAUAAUCACUGAAAAAUUUCGACUGAAAGCUACUUCUUGGUUUAGAGACAGAGCUUUAUAAGAAAACAAGACAUUCUUCUCUUUCUCUGGAAGGUCAAGAGUAACGCUCUCACCCAAGAUGUUAGAGGCCUAUAUUUAGUUCUCAGGAGACUAAGGUCACUGUCUGUCAAAAUCCUUUACCCAAAUCACCACUAUGAACUGG
Oxyura jamaicensis (ruddy duck) is the source of this 3833-nucleotide long non-coding RNA. RefSeq lists it as uncharacterized. The transcript has 6 exons. The record is from RefSeq and is a predicted model, not a curated record. Lineage: Eukaryota; Metazoa; Chordata; Aves; Anseriformes; Anatidae.